This 514-nucleotide unclassified non-coding RNA is filed under the name Zea mays. RNAcentral's name for it is "misc RNA Zm00001eb070870". The record is from RNAcentral. Lineage: Eukaryota; Viridiplantae; Streptophyta; Magnoliopsida; Poales; Poaceae.
UAAUACCAUACUAGUUUGACCUGUAAAAUAUAAGCAUCAGCAAUGGAUCUAUGAGAAACAAAACCAUGUCUAUAUCAAAGAGAAAUAAAACAACGUUUUAAAAUGCUAGAAUAGAAAGCUUCAAGGUCUACCAAUUAGCUAGGUAUAUUUCAAAGAGAAAUUGGGGCUACGAUGGAUACAUGAAUACCAUGGUUGAUGAACCAACAACCAUUUUACCAGUAAUGAGAGAGCACAGACAUAUUUCUUUAGCGAGGUGUAAAGACUAUGUAACUUCACUUUUAGUUUUUGUGUUUAAGUUCUUUAAAGAUGAGCUGCUGAUGCAAAAACCAGUAUUUAAACACUUUCAGUUAUCUGCAGUAAAAGCAAAGAACAUCGACAGCACCACCAUUGAUGGUAUUCUUCUUGAUAUAAUGUUACUCAACUCUCCUACGUGUCCGACAAAAAAAAACACCAUUGAUGGUACUGAGGGCGCGAACUGUAAAAUAGUGACACCUGAGAGUCAUUUGCUUCUGAA